Molecule: unclassified non-coding RNA, 924 nt
Filed under: uncultured Ascomycota
Lineage: Eukaryota; Fungi; Ascomycota
Description: sequence contains 18S rRNA gene, ITS1, 5.8S rRNA gene, ITS2, 28S rRNA gene
Rfam family: Eukaryotic large subunit ribosomal RNA (bases 508-924)
Source: RNAcentral
GGAAGGAUCAUUACCGAGGUGUAUUCGCCCUUCACGGGUGCCCUCCCACACCAUGCGUACCUUAAAAUCAGUAACGUGCUUCGGCGGGGUGCCUCCCAAAAGAGGCCGUCGACCCACUGCGGUUCGGCGCCCCCUCGCCGGGGUUCAGACUCUCAAACUGCUCCAACCGGAUCUCAGCGUCUGAGUAGCAUACGAGAAAUCGAACAAAAACUUUCAACAACGGAUCUCUUGGUUCUGGCAUCGAUGAAGAACGCAGCGAAAUGCGAUAAGUAAUGUGAAUUGCAGAAUUUUGUGAAUCAUCGAAUCUUUGAACGCACAUUGCGCCCUUUGGUAUUCCGAAGGGCACACCUGUUCGAGCGCCGUUUAAAAUCUAAGGCCCAGCCUUGCGUUGGUGGCUACCGUCUUUCAGGCGAUACCCCCUAAACUUCCGGGCGUCCGUCUCCCAGCCGGCUAUGCGCAAAAGCACCUGCCGCGCUAGGGGGUGGGCCGCCAGUUACACAGUACGUUUGGCCUCGGAUCAGGUGGGGAUACCCGCUGAACUUAAGCAUAUCAAUAAGCGGAGGAAAAGAAACCAACAGGGAUUGCCUCAGUAACGGCGAGUGAAGCGGCAAAAGCUCAGAUUUGAAAUCCGGCCCCCCGGCCCGAGUUGUAAUCUGCAGAGGAACGUUCGGCAGAGGCGCCGGUCCAAGUCUCCUGGAACGGAGCGUCGCAGAGGGUGAGAGCCCCGUACGCGGCCGGCAGCCGACGCCGUGUGAACGUCCUUCGACGAGUCGAGUUGUUUGGGAAUGCAGCUCAAAGCGGGUGGUAAAUUCCAUCUAAGGCUAAAUACCGGCCAGAGACCGAUAGCGCACAAGUAGAGUGAUCGAAAGAUGAAAAGCACUUUGGAAAGAGAGUUAAACAGUACGUGAAAUUGUUGAAAGGGAA